Non-coding RNA from Pelobates cultripes (western spadefoot toad), 601 nucleotides. Lineage: Eukaryota; Metazoa; Chordata; Amphibia; Anura; Pelobatidae. The record is from the annotation of a GenBank genome assembly.
GGUAAGUAUCCUGGACGGCGUGGACGUGCUAUGCCGUCCGCUGGCGUUUAGAGCCGGUCCCCAAGGACGGCAUAGCACAGGGUAAACGAGUAUGUUUUCCUGGCACUAUAGUGGUCCUUUAAGUAUCUCCUUGCCUAUUUUCCUGUUUCCCAGAAGUCUCCUUGUUCCUGAUCCUGGCUCGUCUGAUUAUCCGCUUUGGUGCUGACCCCUCAUUGCCUCGUGGACUUUGCUUUUGGUUCUUACUUUAUUUUCUAUUUAUUAAUAAAGGUGUUUUUGCAUCUAGUUCUGUCUCUGUCUGGUUCCUGGACCCUAACAUUACGCAAGGGCCAUGAAUACAGAUGGUAGAGGCAAUACACCUAUACCUAACCUAUUUACUCAAUGGGACCAGCAGAACCACCGUUUAGACCAGUGUACACAUGCUCUCCAGACCCUCCUGAUUUGCAGUGCACAUCUGGAUCCAGCACCCGGCCAGCCUGCAAUUGCGGCCACCUCUGCCUCAUUUCCUGUUCUAACACCGGUUGUAGCCUCCAAACCUGUUGUAGCUAGAGGAAUGACUGGAUCUGUCCCGCUCCCUUAGUAUUUCAGAGGCAACCCAGCUCAG